This 36433-nucleotide long non-coding RNA is filed under the name Fragaria vesca (wild strawberry). RNAcentral describes it as "long non-coding RNA (FVES_LNC000148)". The record is from RNAcentral. Lineage: Eukaryota; Viridiplantae; Streptophyta; Magnoliopsida; Rosales; Rosaceae.
UCUAGUGAGGUCGGUUGGUGCACAAACCUACAGAGUUGCUGGUGUUGGAACAAUCAAAAUUAAGGUACAUGAUGGAUCGAUGAGGAGUUUAGAGAAUGUACUCCAUGUUCCUAAGUUCGAUAGGAAUCUGAUAUCUUUGGGAACUUUAGAUUCGAAAGGCCACAAGAUUGUUGGUCAAGAUGGAAAUAUGAAAGUUUUGAAGGGGGCACUCGUAGUGAUGAAGGGUAAGAAGGUAAAUGGUCUCUAUCGUUUAGAAGGGAGCUUUGUUCGAGGUGGAACAGUUGGUUCCAUUAAGAGUUUUGAUCAAGGUGGAAAGAUUGGCAAUCUUGGUUCCUAUUGGCAUUCAAGGGAGAUAAGCAAUAGUAAAUGCGAAGGAACGAAAUCAGCUUCUAAGAAGGUGAAAUUUGAGGAGUAACCAACAUUGCAGCAGUUCUUAAAGGGAGGCAGACCCGUAAGGAUCCCGACACAAGUUUGUGGUGGAGAUAUACUAGCUCAUGCAUAUUCCACAACUGAGGUGUCACCUACUUCAGUGAGUAGUGAGAAAGUUGAGAAGCAAACUUGGUGUUUUUAAGAGUGAUGCGUCUAGAGAAGAUAUCGUUCAUGGUGGAGAAUAUGUUUAGAGGAAUGUUGCUCGCGGUGAGUUAUGCAAACCAUUGAAGAUUGCUCCCAUUAGGUUUGGCAACUUUAGUGGAAACUUGGAUUGCAUGCAAACCUCUUAGGGCCGCCAAGGGGCCGGGUUCACUCGCCAAAGGCCGCCAAGGGGACGUCUUGACCCGCCAAGGGGCUGCCUUUACAUGCCUAGGGCUUUUUAAACCUACCUAGGACCUGCCAUGACCCGCCUAGGGAUUCCAUUGGGUUGCUUUAACCCGCCUUAACCCGCGUUAGACCGCCUUAAACCACCUUGGACCGCCUUGACCCACCUUGGACCGUCUUAGGCCGCCUUGACCCUCUUAGGGUCGCUAAGGGGACGUCUUGACCCGCCAAAGGGCUGCCUUUACACGCCUAGGGCUGUUUUAACCUACUUAGGGCCUGCCAUGACCCGCCUAGGGCCGCCAUGGGGCUGCCUACGUCUUUCAAGGGGCCACCUUGACCUUGCUAGGCCCACGUAGGGCAGCCAAGGGGGCGCCAAGACCCACCUAGGGCUGUCAAGAGGCCACCUUGACCCGUCUAGGGACAAGCCUUGACCUGGCUUGGCCCACCUUGACCCGCCUUGGGCCCACCUUUACCCUCCUAGACCCACCUAGGGCCACCAAAAAGCCGCCAUGACUCGCUAAGGGGGGCCGCCUUGACACACCAAGGGCCUCCAAGAGGACGUCUUGACCUGCCAAGGGGUUGCCAUUACACGCCAAGGUCUGUUUUGACUUCUCUAGGGCCGCCUUGACCCACCUAGGGCAACCAAGAAGCGGCCAUGACUCGCCGAGGGGUCGCCAUGACCCUCCUAGGCCCGUCUAGGGCAGCCAAGGUGCCGCCUUGACCCUCCUCGGCUCUUCUAGGCCCACCUAGGGAAGCCAAGGAGGCUCCUUGACCUGCCUUGGAUCGCCUUGGGCCGCCUUGACCCGCCUUAACCCGCCUUUGACCGCCUUGACUUGCCUUGGGCCGCCUAGACCAGCGCUUGACCCGCCUUGACUUGCCUUGACCCUCCUAGACCAGCCUAGGGCCACCAAGAAGCCGCCAUGACUUGCCAUGACCUGUCAAGGGGCUGCCUUUAUAUGCCUUGACUCUCAUAGGCCCGCCUAGGGCCACCUUGACCCAUGUACGGCCGACAAGGGCGGCCUUAACCCGCCUUGACCCGUCUUAACCCUCCUUGAUCCACCUAGGGCCGCCAAUGGGGAAGCCUUGAGACGCCUAGGGUCGCCAAGGGGACGUCGUCUUGACCUGCCAAGGGGCUGCCUUUACACGCCUAGGUCUGUUUUGACCUCCCUAGGGCCCGCCAUGACCCACCUAGGGCCACCAAGGGGCUGCCUACGGCCGUUAUGAGGCUACAUUGACCUGUUUAGGGCCGCCUUUACCCACCUUGGCCUGUCUUGGGCGGCCUUGGACCGCCUUGACCCUCUUAGGGCCGCCAAGGGGCCGGGUUCACUCGCCUAAGGCCGCCAAGGGCCGCCCUAACACACCUAGGGCAGCCAAGGGGACGUCUUGACCCGCAAAAGGGCUGCCUUAACACGUGUAGGGCUGUUUUAACCUACCAAGGGCCCGCCAUGACCCUGGUUGGACCGCUUUGACCCGCCUUGACUUGCCUUGGGCUGUCUUGACCCGCCUUAGGCCGCCUUGACCUACAUUGAACCGCCUUGGGCCGCCUUGACCCACCUAGACCCGCCUGGACCCUCUAGAACCACCAAAGGGCUGCAUAGGGCCGCCUUGGACUGCCUUGACCCUCCUAGACUCGCCUAGGGCCACCAAAAAGCUGCAAUGACUCGUCAAGGGGCUGCCUUCACACGCCUUGACCCACCUUGGCCCGCCUUGACUCGUUUUGACCCUCCUAGACCUGCCUAGGGCCGCCUUGACUCUUCUAGACUCGCCUAGGGCCACCAAGAAGCUGCAAUGACUCAUCAAGGGGGUGCCUUCACCCACCCUGGCCCGCCUUAGACCCUCUUGGCCCGUCUUUGGCUGCCUUGACCCUCCUCGGCCCUUCUAGGCCCACCUAGGGCAACCAAGGGGGAGCCAUGACCCACUUAGAGCCGCCAACGACUACCUUUACACGGCUUGACCCUCCUUGGCCCUUCUAGGGCCGCCUUUACCCGCCUUGACCUGCCUUCACCCAGUUAGGGCCGCCUUUACCCGUCUAGAGCCGCCUCGACCCAUAUUAGCCCACCUUGACCCUCCUAGGGCCGCUAAGAGGCCCCUUGACCCGCCUUGACCUUACUAGGCCCUCCUAGGUUCGCCUAGGGCCACCAAGGGGCCGCCAUGACUCGCCAAGGGGCCGCCAUGACUCGCCAAGGGGUCGCCAUGACCCUUAUAUGUCCGUCUAGGGCAUCCUUAACCCUCCUAGGCCCUCCAAAGCUUGCCUAGGGUAGCCAAGCGGCCGCCUUGACCCGUCUUAACCCGCCUUGGGCCGCCUUGACACGCGUAGAGCUGCCUUGACCAACAUGGGCCGACCUUGACCCUCCUAGGGCCACCAAGGAGCUGUCUUGACCUCGCUAGGGCCGCCAAGGGGCCCCGUUCACCUGUCUAAGGCCGCCAAGGGGCUUCCUUGACCCUCCUACAACCCCAUAGGGCCGCCUUGACCCUCCUAGGCCCUCCUUGGCUCGACUAGGGCCAUCAAGGGGCCGCCAUGACCAUCCUAGGCCUGUUUAGGGCCGCCUUUACCCACUUUGACCCGCAUUGGCCCGCCUUAACUUGCCUUGACCCUCCUAGGGCCGCCAAGAGGCCGCCUUGACGCUAGGGCCGCCAAGAGGCUGCCUUGACCUCGCUAGGGCCGCUAAGGGGCCGCCUUCACCCGUCUAAGGCUGCCAACGGGCCGCCUUGACCUCGCUAGGGCCGCGUUCACCCGUUUAAGGCUGCCAAGAGGCUGCCAUAACCCUCCCUACGCCUUCCUAGGCCCUCCUUUGCUCGCCUAGGGUUGCCAAGGGGCUGCUAAGGGGCUGCUAUAACCCUCCUAGACCCGCGUAGGGUAGCCCUCCUAGGCCCUCCUUGGCUGACCUAGGGCCACCAAAGGGUUGCCAUGACUCACCAAGGGGUCGCCAUGACCCUCCUGGGCUUGUGUAGGGCCGCCUUGACUUGCCUAGGGCCGUCAAGCGGCUGCCUUGACCCUGUUGGGGACGCCAUGGGGCUGCGUUCACCCGUUUAAGGUUGCCAAGGGGCCGCCUUGACCCGCCAAGGGGCUGCCUUAACCCUCCUAGACCCUCCUUGACCCUCCUUGGACUGCCUUAACCCGCCUUAACCCGCCUUGGGCCGCCUUCACCCGCCUUGGGCCACCUAGACCCAUCUAGGGCCACUGAGGGGCGCCUUGACCAAGCUAGGGCCGCCAAGGGGUCGACUUGACCCUCCUAGGGCUACCUUGACCAGCCUUGGGUCGCCUUUACCGGCCUUGACCUGCCUAGGGCCUCCAAGCGGCCCUCUUGACCCACCUUGGCCCGCCUUGACCCGCAUUGACCUACCUUGGCCUGCCUUGACCCGCCUUGGACCUGCCUAGGGCCGCCAAGCAGCCGUCUUGACUCGCCUUAACCCUCCUUAAGCCGCGUUACCCCUCCAAGCGGCCGCCUUGGACCGCUUUGACCCGCAUUUACCUGCCUUUGGCCGUUUUAACUCUCUUUGGACCGCCUUAACCCGCUUUGGCCCGGCUUAGGCCUCCUUCACCCGUCUUAGGCCUCCUUCACCCGUCUUAGGCCUCCUUCACCCGUCUUGGGCCGCUUUGGCCCGGCUUAGGCCUCCUUCACCCGUCUUCAGAUUUUUAUACAAGUAUGUAAACAACUUUCAAGCAUCGAAAUCAACAAUAUGUUCAAGUACAUGGCGCCACAACCUGGUUCUUUCUAGUUGAUUUUAUUCAAAUUGGUUUGAAGAAAAUAGAUCACAUAUGCCAAGUUAUUUUCUAGCGUCUAAAGUGAGGUGAUGCUUCGGCCCAAGCUCUUGGCUAGUUCGAGCGUGUUCCGUGUUUUCAGAAGGCUGUGUCGUUAAGAUUCACGGAGGGCGAACCCCCUAUAGGAACCAGGCAGGACUCGUUUAGUGGUCACGGAGAGCGAACUCCCAAUCGACCCCUUCACUGAGAAGAGAUAUCAGUCUAUGACCUUGAGAUCCAGUUAAACAAACCUAAGAACCAUAUCUAUGAAAAUAACUUGCCCCUUACUCAGUUGAGAACAAACUCGGGUCACUAGACCGGUCUACAAGUGUUAAUCAAAGCCGCCCUCAACCUCAUGAGAUCAUAAGAUAACAUGAAGGGUGAAGGCUAAGAUUAACAAAAGUGGCUUCCCCCUACAUAUUUCACUUUAGAAGCUACAAUAAACUCAAGCAUACAUAAAACUAUAAACUUCCUAGAAAUUAAACUAAGUUAUUACAACAUGCAUUCAAGCACACAAAUCAAAACCGAAACUUCCAAAAAUUAAAAAUACAAAUCGGCCAAAAUUAAUUACAAGCCGAAAACCAAUAAUAAUAAAAACUAUAUAACAUCUUCUUCGAUUCUUCUUGGCUUCCCCGGCAACGGCGCCAAAAAUUGACGUGUCGCGUAACCGGGGUCAAACAACUUCAAUUUAAUUACCCUGCAAUCGUAGUAAUAUAGACAAGUAGGGAUCGUUCUAGCCGGGGAAACCAAAGGGCAAUCGAAAGAAGAUAAACCNNNNNNNNNNNNNNNNNNNNNNNNNNNNNNNNNNNNNNNNNNNNNNNNNNNNNNNNNNNNNNNNNNNNNNNNNNNNNNNNNNNNNNNNNNNNNNNNNNNNNNNNNNNNNNNNNNNNNNNNNNNNNNNNNNNNNNNNNNNNNNNNNNNNNNNNNNNNNNNNNNNNNNNNNNNNNNNNNNNNNNNNNNNNNNNNNNNNNNNNNNNNNNNNNNNNNNNNNNNNNNNNNNNNNNNNNNNNNNNNNNNNNNNNNNNNNNNNNNNNNNNNNNNNNNNNNNNNNNNNNNNNNNNNNNNNNNNNNNNNNNNNNNNNNNNNNNNNNNNNNNNNNNNNNNNNNNNNNNNNNNNNNNNNNNNNNNNNNNNNNNNNNNNNNNNNNNNNNNNNNNNNNNNNNNNNNNNNNNNNNNNNNNNNNNNNNNNNNNNNNNNNNNNNNNNNNNNNNNNNNNNNNNNNNNNNNNNNNNNNNNNNNNNNNNNNNNNNNNNNNNNNNNNNNNNNNNNNNNNNNNNNNNNNNNNNNNNNNNNNNNNNNNNNNNNNNNNNNNNNNNNNNNNNNNNNNNNNNNNNNNNNNNNNNNNNNNNNNNNNNNNNNNNNNNNNNNNNNNNNNNNNNNNNNNNNNNNNNNNNNNNNNNNNNNNNNNNNNNNNNNNNNNNNNNNNNNNNNNNNNNNNNNNNNNNNNNNNNNNNNNNNNNNNNNNNNNNNNNNNNNNNNNNNNNNNNNNNNNNNNNNNNNNNNNNNNNNNNNNNNNNNNNNNNNNNNNNNNNNNNNNNNNNNNNNNNNNNNNNNNNNNNNNNNNNNNNNNNNNNNNNNNNNNNNNNNNNNNNNNNNNNNNNNNNNNNNNNNNNNNNNNNNNNNNNNNNNNNNNNNNNNNNNNNNNNNNNNNNNNNNNNNNNNNNNNNNNNNNNNNNNNNNNNNNNNNNNNNNNNNNNNNNNNNNNNNNNNNNNNNNNNNNNNNNNNNNNNNNNNNNNNNNNNNNNNNNNNNNNNNNNNNNNNNNNNNNNNNNNNNNNNNNNNNNNNNNNNNNNNNNNNNNNNNNNNNNNNNNNNNNNNNNNNNNNNNNNNNNNNNNNNNNNNNNNNNNNNNNNNNNNNNNNNNNNNNNNNNNNNNNNNNNNNNNNNNNNNNNNNNNNNNNNNNNNNNNNNNNNNNNNNNNNNNNNNNNNNNNNNNNNNNNNNNNNNNNNNNNNNNNNNNNNNNNNNNNNNNNNNNNNNNNNNNNNNNNNNNNNNNNNNNNNNNNNNNNNNNNNNNNNNNNNNNNNNNNNNNNNNNNNNNNNNNNNNNNNNNNNNNNNNNNNNNNNNNNNNNNNNNNNNNNNNNNNNNNNNNNNNNNNNNNNNNNNNNNNNNNNNNNNNNNNNNNNNNNNNNNNNNNNNNNNNNNNNNNNNNNNNNNNNNNNNNNNNNNNNNNNNNNNNNNNNNNNNNNNNNNNNNNNNNNNNNNNNNNNNNNNNNNNNNNNNNNNNNNNNNNNNNNNNNNNNNNNNNNNNNNNNNNNNNNNNNNNNNNNNNNNNNNNNNNNNNNNNNNNNNNNNNNNNNNNNNNNNNNNNNNNNNNNNNNNNNNNNNNNNNNNNNNNNGGGGCAUGACCCACUUAACGCUGCCACGGGGGUGCCUUUACAUGCCUUGACCCUCCUAGGCCCGCCUAGGGCCAACUUGACCCGUCUAGGGAUGCCAAGAGGCCGCUUUGACCUACCUAGGGCCGCAAAGGGGCCGCCUAGGGCCGCCAAAGGGACGACAUGACCCACCAAGGUGCUGCCUUUACACGCCAAGGGUUGUUUUGACCUCCCUAAGGCCCGCCAUGACCCGACUAUGGCCGCUAAGAGGCUGCCUUGGGCCGCCAUGGGGCCACCUUGACCCUCCUUGGGCCGCCUUGAUCCGUCUUGACCCGCCUUGAACCGUGUUGGGCCGCUAUGACCCGCCUUGACCCGCCUUAAACUGCCUAGACCCACCAAGGGGCUAUCUAGAGCUGCCUUAACCCGCCAUGACCCGCCUUAGACCACCUUGGCUCUCCUUGACUCGCCUUGGACCCGCCUUGACUCGCCUUGACCUGUCUUGGCCUGCCAUGACCCGCCUUGGACCCACCUUGACCCGCCUUGAUCAGUCUUGACUUGUCUUGGCCUGCCAUGACCCGCCUUGGACCCACCUUGACUCGCCUUGAACCGCCUUGACCCUCCUAGGGCCGCCUAGACCGCCUUGGCCCACUUUAACAUACCUUGGCCCGUCUUAGGCCGCCUUGACCUGCCUUGAACCUCCUAGGGCCACCAAGAAGCAGCCAUGACCCUCCUAGGCUUGUCUUGGGCCGCCAAGGGACCGCCUUGUCCCGUCUUGACCCAUCUUGGCCAGCCUUGGGCCGCCUUGACCAUCCUGGACCCUUCUAGGCCCACCUAGGGCAACCAAGGGGCUGCCUUUACACGCCUUGACCCAUCUAGGGCCUCCAAAGGGGCCGCCUUGACACGCCUAGGGCCACCAAUGGGACAUCUUGACCCGCUAAGGGAUGCCUUUACAUGCCCAGGGCUGUUUUGACCUCCAUAGGGCCUCCAAGGGGCUGCCUACGUCCUUAGGGCCCGCCUUUAUCCGCCUUGACCUGCCAAGGCCCGCCAUAAUCCGCCUAGAACCGCUUAGGCCGUCUUGACAUGCCUUGACCCGCCUUUACACAUCUUGAACCGUUUGGCCCACCUUGACCCGCCAUUGGCCGCUUGGACUCACCUUGACCCGCCUUGGCCUGCUUGGGCCUCCUUGACCCUCAUAGACCUGCCUAGGGCACCAAGAAGCUGCCAUGACUCGCCAUGACCCGUCAAGGGGCUGCCUUUACACGCUUUGGACCGCCUUGAUCCGCCUUGACUUGUCUUGACCCGCCUUGGGCCGCUUUGACCCUCCUUAGCCUGCAUUGACCCGCCUUGACCAUCCUCAGCCUUUCUAGGCCCACCUAGGGCAGCCAUGACCCACCUAGAGCCGCCAAGAGGUUGCCUUUCUACACCUUGACUUGUUUAGGGCCGCUAAGGGGGCUGCCAUGACACGCUUAGGGCCGCCAAGGGGAUACCUUGACCAGUCUAGGCCACCAUGGGGCCGCCUUGACCCGUCUUGGACUGUUUUGACCUGCCUUGACCCACCUUGACCUGUCGUGACCCGCUUUGACCCGCCUUGGACUGCCUUGACCCGCCUUGAUGUGCAUUGACUUGCCUUGAGCCACUUUGACCCGUCAUUGCCCACUUUGACCCGCCUUAGACCGCCUUGACCCGCUUUGGACCACAUUGACCCGCGUUGGACUGCUUUGGCCCGCCUUUACCUGCCUUGGGUCACCUUCGGCCGCCUUGACCCGCCUUGAACCGCCAUUGGCCAUCUAGUGCCACCAAGAAGCCGCCAUGACUCGCCAAGGCAUCGCCAUGUCCCUCAUAGUCCCGUAUAGGGCCAACAGGGGACCGCCUUAACUCGCCUUGAUCCUCUUGGGCCUUUCUAGGCCUACCUAAGGCAGCCAAAGGGGCUCCAUGGCCCAUCUAAGGCCGUAAUGGGGAUGCCUUUUCACGCCUUGAUCCAUCUAGGGCCGCCAAAAGGCCGCUUUGACAUUCCUAGGGGGCAGCCUUGACACGCCUUGGGCUAUUUUGACCUCCCACGGGCCGCUAUGACCAGCUUAGGGCCGUCAAAGGGCUGCAUACGUCUGCCAAGAGGCCACCUUGACCCGCCUUGUGCAUCCUUGACCUACUUUUGGCCGCCUUGACCUACCUUGGCCUGCUUUGGGCAGCUUUUACCCGCCUUGAACCGCCUUGAUGAUAGGAGCACAAAGUGUGACGUUCUUAAUAUGUUUAUACCCUUUAUUUACCCUUUGUGAACUCCUAUUUAGUUGUUUUAGCUUUAUAUUUGUGUUUAGUAUAGAAUAAUUGCUUAAUGUUGAAAUAUGUAGGUUUUAGUGUUAGAAUACAUAGUAUUUUCGGAUUUGAAUAAUUUGGUGUUGAAAUUGUGCUAAGUGUUGGAGAUCCUUGUUUACUCAGGAUUCUUGUCUUGAUCAGGAUUCCAUCUUUCCUCUUUCCUAGUUUCUAAUUUUCUUAUUUCUAUUUCAGGAAAGUCUAAACCCGUGUUGACCAGGAAAUGUUUUCCUGACUCAUGAGAGAAAGGUGGCCGGCAGCUAGGAGUUCCUGCUUGAGCUAGAAGAAGUACAAUCCGAGAUAUGUAUGGAAGAUGCCGUGAGAUUUCCCAAGUCACCAAGGAAAGAGACCGUGCGGCCCAAGAGAGAAAAUUUUCCAAGUUCAAGAUGGUUUUGUCAUUCCUUAAUACAUAAAGAUUACUUGAAGACCAAGAGAGGAAGUUAAAUCCAACUUGGACUUGGUUUUGCCGAUUUAAUAAGGAUUCCUUGUGCUUGAGGAAUUCUUGGAGAUCAAGUCUUGUUACUCUAUAUAUAGGGCACGGCAUGGCAGCAGUUUAUGAUCAUCAACCCGUGCAAAAUUACACCAAAGCUNNNNNNNNNNNNNNNNNNNNCUUAUGUGCAUAUCUAAAUUUAGGUUGUGUAUUUGCUCACGGUGUGGACUUAAUUGAGAUUAGAGAUCGUCUUCUUUGUUCUUGCAUGGUUGUUUGGUUGUGUUUGCAUGAUUGUUGGUUGAUCGCAUGUAAAUAUGUAUAGAGGUAAUUUAGGAUUUAUUUCCAAUGUCUAUUCCGAAAUCAUCAAACCUUUAAACCCUAUAUGCUUAUUUCGACAUUUAUAUUAGGUUAGUGGAUCUACCCUGUAGUUAGAUCCCCAGUUUAGAACGAUCCCUGCUUGCUUUAUACUACGAUUGAUUUGUUGAGAGGGUUAAUUGAUGCGUGUGCAAAUAUUUCUUAUCAAAUGGCGCCGUUGCCGGGGAUCCUUCGGGAUCCUCGAUCUUUUUAAUUGUCGAAAUUUGCAUUGUAUAUAUGUCUAUAUGUUUAUAUUUGUAAAGUUAAAACCAUGAAUUUGUGUAUGAUGUAAUUGUGUUUUAUUUUUGUCUUUCUACUUUAAUACUUGUAUAAAUAAUGUUGUAGGUUGUAAUGCACAGGAAUAGGUAGGAUCCCUUUUGUUAAUUCUAGCCUUAACCCUUCUUGUUUACUCUCGGGUUUGCAUGAGGUUGUGGGCGGCUUUUAUUAACACUUGGAGUCAUGUUUGGUUCAUAAGUUUGUUGCUAGCUGAGUACAUUGGUACGCUCCUUCUAUUACUCUGGUGCAUGGGGCCAAAAUUGGAUCUCAAGAGCCUUGAAGACAUACAUCUCGGUGAUGAAGUUCUCAUUGCUCACUAAACGAGUCCUACCAUGUUCACUAUCUCUGGAUUGAGCUAUUGACCUUUAGAAGCCACGCUUCAAGCUAUCGAAACAUCUAUAUCCAGGCCGCACGUCCACCGUGUCUUACCAUCUUGAAUCAUUAUUUAUUUAAGUGUUUUAGUAGCAACUCGAGAAUAAGCUUGUAUGACUUUGUAAUCUUAAAGAUUGGUGCCAUGUAUGAUUUUGUAUUUAAUUUGUUUCGAAAUUUAUCUCUUGAUUUUCGAAUUUCUUUUGUUUUCCUUUGUUUUGUUUUCCUUUGAUUGAUUUUUGGAACCCUUGGUUCCUUUCUCUUAUUUAUAAGAACCCUUGGUUCUUAGCUUAGUCUAGUUUAUUGCUUUUGAUUUCGUUUUAUACUCAUGCAUUCUAACUUGAUCUUGGCCAAAUAGUUUUUCAGGUGCUAGACGUGCAUGCAACCUCGACUCACUCGUUCGUCUUCACAAGGAGCUCUUGUUCCAUUGAAUCCGGAGAUUGAUUGUGCUUGUAAAGAACAAAGAAAGAAGCAAAAAGGACCAUCAAGUAGCACGGUUGGACCUUUAGAAUUUGAAGAGCAAGAUCCUCCUUCUCCCUUUCAGAUCCAGUCCGAAUCUUCAUCUUCAUCCGAAUCGGAGAUUGACUGUGAGGAAGACAAGUCCGACAUCGACAUGACCGACUCACCACUCCAAUCUGCUUUCAUCCCCACAGCCCCGGAAUCACCUUAAUGCAUUGCUUUCACUGUGCCUAAUGAAGCCAACUUCUUCAUACCGGUUCAGUUGCUUGGGCAAUUGCCUAAGUACUCGGGUUCUCUAAUGGAGGACCCUAAUGUUCACCUUAGAGAGUUUCUCGAUAUCUGUAGAUUGCAAUCAAUCAAUCAUCUUACUCCAGAAGGCCUAAAGUUGCUUUUAUUUCCUUUUACUCUUAAAGAUGAUGCUAAGCGUUGGUUGUAUUCUUUGCCUGCAGGAAUCAUCACCAAUUAGAAUGAGAUGACCUCGAAGUUCUUGAAACAAUUCUUCCCUGCGCAACUCACGAAGAAGCUAAGGAGGGAGAUUCAGAACUUCACUCAAAAGGAUGGUGACACUCUCUAUGAGGCAUAGGAAGAGUUUCAGGAACUUCAGAGGAAGUGCCCUCAUCAUGGAAUUACUUUGGACGAGUUAGUUCAAGCUUUUUAUGAGGGACUUGACAACACCAACAAGGGUAUGGUGGACUCUGUAUGUGGAUGCACAUUUAUGAACAAGACCUGACGGCAAACAUAUAACUUAAUUGAGGACUUGGCGGAUAACAAUCGUCAAUUCAGCACCAAGAACUCAAGGAAGUCGGCAGGAGGCCGUGGUGGUGUCUAUGACAUUGAAGCUCGGAAUCAGAUGAUCACGUUGGAUAGGAAGCUUGAUGUCUUGGUCAAGGCUUUCAAUGGUUCGAAUCUUGGCAACCAAGCUUGUGGAAUUUGCUCACUUUCGGAUCACUCUACAGAUUCAUGUCCGAAUGGUGCUUUGAGUGAGGCGGAGUUGAACUUUAUGGGUACAACAGAGGCAACGUUAUGAUCCAUAUUCGAACACUUACAANNNNNNNNNNNNNNNNNNNNCUUUGAUACAAGUAGUUGAUAAGUUGCAUUGUCUUUGUUAUUUCACCGAUUUUCUACCUAUGUUUGAUUUGGACUUGUGCUUAAACACAUCGAUUCUUUAUGUGAUACGUAAUUGCAUGAUUAGUUUAUGUGUGUGACCUAUAAGUAGAGCACGUAGCCGAGCUUGUUUGUGUCGCGAUGUUGAAUGAAACCCGUAGUCUAAUUCAAAGUAUGGUCUAUGUCAUAGGAACCACGUAGGAACUUAUGUGCAUAUCAAAUUUAGGUUGUAUAUUUGCUCACGGUGUGGACUUAAUUGAGAUUAGAGAUCGUCUUCUUUAUUCUUGCAUGGUUGUUUGGUUGAGUUUGCAUGAAUGUUGGUUGAUCACAUGUAUAUAUGUAUAGAAGUAAUUUAGGAUUUAUUAUUAAUAUUGUUCCGAAAUCAUAAAACCUUUAAACCUAUAUGCUUAUUUCGAUACUUACAUUAGAUUAGAUGGAUCUACCCUGUAGUUGGAUCCCCGGUUUAGAACGAUCCCUGCUUGCUUUAUACUACGAUUGAUUUGUUGACAGGGUUAAUUGAUGCGUGUGCAAAUACGUCUUAUCACUAUCUCUUUGUGGUGAUUUGAGGUGAUGAUUCAAUACAAGUGUGGGGUUGUUCUAAGGAGUUUGUUGCCGAGAUACAUAUGAGAAAAGGAAAAAAUUGCUCUCGGAAGAAAAGAAAAAAAAACAGAAAAAAAAAGUUUCGAAUUGAUUUUGAUGAAGAUAUCUCGGCCUAGAUGUAGUUUUUGUGAAUUUGGAGUUGUGAUUUGUUUGUUGAAGGCUCAAUAUGUUAUACUUUUAGCUUUUGUUCCUUUUCACAAUGUUUAAAGUGAAGGAUGGGUCCAACAUGAUGAUAUUUGGCCCUUGAUGGUGUUUGGUGAAAUAAGGUGGAUGUUCUUGCUCUGCUAAGUCUUGAGGAUGACCUUUAUGAUUCCUUAAAUUUGAAAAUUUUUCCAUGCCGCGAGCCUAACCAACCUAUUUUCUAAAGAUCCGCAUGAUUCUUAAGAUAAGUAACCUUUGAUCUGUGGAGUUUGUUUCAUGAGUAAGCAUAUGGUUGUGGUUCAUUUAUGCAUAUGAUUGGUAUCUUUUAUGAGGUUUUUAAAUUCACUAUGUCUUUAUAACUCUUGUGUGUGAAAAGCUUCUAAGCAUAUGUCAUGUUCUUGAGAGAAAAAAUUCGGAGUGCAUAUCCUUUGUGAGUUGAAUUUGAACUUGUUUGGAACAUGUUGAGCUUAAUUUCACCUUUGUUUCUGCCAUGUCUUACUUGUUACAUCGAAAUCUCAUGUUAUUAACCAUUGAAUUCGUCUUUCAAUUUCGAUUCUUGUGCUAUUCUUGUAUGCUAUGNNNNNNNNNNNNNNNNNNNNUCUUGCAGUCCCUGCUGAUCCGAAAUCCACUCAAGCCGUGCUUGAGAAAGGUAAGUCUUUUAGCUCUAAUGGUUUAGUUUCUACUAAUGUCCAUGCUCGUGCCCCUUUCCUCAACAGGUUUGCUAAAUCAAAGCACGAUGAAGCUGAUCAUGCAAUGAUUGAGUUAUUCAAGAAGGUGGAAGUAAACAUGCCAUUGCUUGAGUGCAUUCAACAAAAUCCAAAGUAUGCGAAAUUCUUGAAAGAGUUGUGCACCAACAAGAGGCUACCACGAGAGAAGGAUGUAGCGGUAAUGAAUAAAACAAUCUCUGCGGUUUUUCAAAGGAAACUACCACCUAAGCUUAAGGAUCCAGGGAGUUUUUCGAUUCCAUGCACCAUUGGUACUCAUAGUUUUGAUAAGAUCAUGUUAGAUCUAGGUGCUUCGAUUAAUGUUAUGCCCUCUUAUCUUUAUGCGGACUUAGGUCUAGGUGAUUUGAAAAAGGAUAACAUUAUCAUUAGAUUGGUUGACCGCUCCAACAAGAUCCCUCUGGGAUAUGUUGAGGAUGUUUUAGUGUAGGUUGCAAGUUUAACAUUUCCUGCAGAUUUCUAUGUCAUUGACAUGGAACCGGCGGAUGCAGAUGACAAAAAAAUUCCCAUUCUAUUGGGAAGGCCAUUCAUGAGAACCGCAAGGACCAAAAUUGAUGUCUACUUAGGGGAACUAACUUUCGAAAUAGAUGGAGACAUCAUUAGUUACAAUGUUUUUGAUGCGAUGAGGUAUCCACUUCCUGAACUUUUUCGAGAUUUCUUUUCUAUUGAUGUUGUGGAUGAUCUUGCGGAUGAAUAUGUGGAGACAAUAGCUCAAGACACCUUGGCACUCACCUUGGCAAAAGGAAUCAGAUUUGAUGCCAUGGGGAACAACAUCACCUUAGCUCAAUACACCGUGCCUCUGCCCUUGCUUGAGAUCGUGCAGUCGCUUGAGGUGGCUGCCGAGGUAUGCUACUCCUCCCCUAGUCCAAUUCUCUUUCCAUCUAACAAGUUUCUUCCUUCCAUUAUCCAAGCCCCAAAAUUAGAUCUCAAGGUUCUUCCGGAACAUUUGAAGUAUGUGUAUUUGGGAGAGAAUGAAACGUUGCCAGUUAUCAUAUCAUCAUCACUAGAGAAGGAGCAAGAGGAGAGAUUGAUCGAAGUUUUGAAAAGACACAAGAUGGCCAUAGGUUGGACCUUAGCCGACAUCAAGGAAAUUAGUCCUACAAUGUGUGUUCAUCGAAUUUUGCUUGAAGAUGGAGCAAAACCGACCAAGGAGGGUCAACGACGUCUUCAUCCACCUAUGAUGCAAGUUGUGAAGGAUGAGGUGACAAAGUUGCUCGAUUGUGGAGUCAUCUACCCAAUUUCGGAUUCAAGGUGGAUUUCACCGGUUCAAGUUGUGCCAAAGAAGAGCGGAAUCACGGUGGUGAGGAAUGAUGAAAACGAGCUUGUGCCGCAAAGGACCGUAACCGGCCACCGAGUGUGUAUCGAUUAUAGGAGGCUCAAUGCAACAACAAGGAAGGAUCACAUGCCGUUGCCAUUUAUUGAUCAAAUGCUUGAGAGGUUAGCCGGUCAUUCCUUCUAUUGUUUUCUUGACGGUUAUAGUGGUUACAAUCAAAUACGUGUUGCGGAAGAGGAUCAAGAGAAGACAACGUUUACAUGUCCCUUUGGCACUUUUGCCUACCGCCGCAUGCCUUUUGGUUUGUGCAAUGCUCCAGCUACGUUUCAAAGAUGCAUGUACCACAUAUUUUCUGAGUUCAUAGGUUCUAUGAUUGAAGUCUUUAUGGAUGAUUUUUCUGUUUAUGGUGGAGAUUUCGAUGCAUGUUUAGAAAAUGUAGAACUUGUGCUUAGGAGAUGUGAGGAAACUAAUCUUGUGCUUAAUUGGGAAAAAUGUCACUUCAUGGUUACUCAGGGUAUAGUACUCGGCCAUAUUGUUAGUUCUAGGGGUAUUGAGGUUGAUAAAUCUAAGAUAGAUCUUGUGCGUCACUUACCCAUCCCCACAAGUGUGAGGGAUGUUCGAAGCUUUCUUGGACAUGCAGGUUUUUAUCGUCGAUUUAUCAAAGAUUUCUCCAAGAUAGCUCGGCCCUUGAGUUUGUUGCAAAAAGAUGUGCCCUUCCACUUUGAUGCCGAGUGCAAGGAGGCUUUUGAGCGGUUGAAAACCAUGUUGACAUCGGCGCCGAUCAUGGCGCCACCGGAUUGGUCCUUGCCCUUCGAGUUGAUGUGUGACGCCUCAGACUAUGCCGUGGGGGCUGUGCUCGGACAGAGAAAAGAACAGCAGCCGUAUGCCAUAUAUUAUGCCUCUCGGAUGCUCAAUGAUGCGCAACAGAACUACACCACCAUCGAGAAAGAACUUCUUGCCGUGAUCUUUGCUUUGGAUAAGUUUCGUUCUUCCUUACUCCAAUCUAAAGUUAUUGUUUACACUGACCAUGCGGCUUUGAAGUAUUUGUUGACAAAGAAGGAUGCCAAGCCGAGAUUGAUAAGGUGGAUAUUGCUUCUCCAAGAGUUCGAUUUGGAAAUCAAAGACAAGAAGGGGUCGGACAACGUUGUUGCCAACCACCUUAGCCGGUUGGUANNNNNNNNNNNNNNNNNNNNUAAUCGGAACUCACCAUCAUCCUUGAUCCGAAGCAAGUAGCUUAGGGUUCCGCUCACUCGAAGAAUAGAACAAGUAGGGAUAUUUUGAGAGUGAAUUCCAUCUUUUACUUUCGGAUUAGAAUGUGUUCGUUCUUUUUGAUGUUUGUUUUAGGUUUUUGCUUAAGUAUAUUUCGAUUCUUGUCUAUGAGAUAGAAGUACUUUUGAGCCAUGUUUUGAAUUGAAGUUUAUGAUUUAUGAUCAAUGAUUUUAGGUUUUAUGCCGUGAGUUUUAUGUCCAUGUAUUUUAAGAUUUUCGGUGUAUUCUUCUAUUUUCAUGUGUAAUUGAUAUAAGUAGUUGAUGUUGCAUGUGUUAAUCAUCCAAGGUUCGACUUUGAUACAAGUAGUUGAUAAGUUGCAUUGUCUUUGUUAUUUCACCGAUUUUCUACCUAUGUUUGAUUUGGACUUGUGCUUAAACACAUCGAUUCUUUAUGUGAUACGUAAUUGCAUGAUUAGUUUAUGUGUGUGACCUAUAGGUAAAGCACGUAGCCGAGCUUGUUUGUGUCACGAUGUUGAAUGAAACCCGUAGUCUAAUUCAAAGUAUGUCUAUGUCAUAGGAACCACGUAGGAACUUAUGUGCAUAUCAAAUUUAGGUUGUGUAUUUGCUCACGGUGUGGACUUAAUUGAGAUUAGAGAUCGUCUUCUUUGUUCUUGCAUGGUUGUUUGGUUGUGUUUGCAUGAUUGUUGGUUGAUCGCAUGUAAAUAUGUAUAGAGGUAAUUUAGGAUUUAUUUCCAAUGUCUAUUCCGAAAUCAUCAAACCUUUAAACCCUAUAUGCUUAUUUCGACAUUUAUAUUAGGUUAGUGGAUCUAUCAUGUAGUUGGAUCCCCGGUUUAGAACGAUCCCUGCUUGCUUUAUACUACGAUUGAUUUGUUGAGAGGGUUAAUUGAUGCGUGUGCAAAUACAUCUUAUUACUUGACUCUCCUAAACCCACCUAGGGCCACUAAGAUGCCACCAUGAUUCGCCAAGGGGUCGCCAUGACCCUCCUAGGCCCGUCUAGGGCUGCCAAGGGGCCGCCUUGACCUGUCUUGGCCCGUGUUGACCCGCUUAGGAUCGCCUUGACCCACCUUGAUUUGUCUUGACCCGCCUUGAAACAGCUAGGGCUGUUAUGACCUCCCUCGAGCUCGCCAUAACCUGCCUAAGGCCGCCAAGAGGCCACCUUGAACCGCCUCUGCCCGUCUUGGCCCGUCUUGACCCGCAUUAACCUGCCAUAGCCCGCUUUGGCUCGCCUUGGACCGUCUUGGGCCACUUGGACCCGCCUUGGGCCGCCUUGACCCGCCUUGGCUCGCUUUGGGCCGCCUUUACCCUCUUUGAACCGCCUUGACUCUCCUAAACCCACCUACGGCCACCAAGAGGCCGCCAUUAUUCACCAAAGGGUCGCUUUGACCCGCCUACAACCACCAAAGAGCUGCCUACGGCCGCCAUGGGAUACCUUGACCCGCCUUGGACCACCUUAACCUGCCUUGAUGUGCAUUGACUUGCCUUGACCCGCCUUGAGCCGCUUUGACCCGCCAUUGCCCGCUUUGACCCGCUUUGGCCCGCCUUGACUCGCCUUAGACCGCUUUGACCCGCCUUGGGCUGCAUUGAACCGCCUUGGACUGCCUUGGACCGUCUUUGCCAAGGGCCGCCUUGACUAGCCUUGAACCGCCAUUGGCCACCUAGUGCCACUAAGAAGCCGCCAUAACUCGCUAAGGCAUCGCCAUGUCCCUCCUAGGGCCGCCAAGGGACCGCCUUAACCCGCUUUGAUCCUCCUGGGCGCUUCUAGGCCGGCCAAGGGCAGCCAAGGGGGUCGCCAUGACAUGCUUAGGGCUGUUUUGACCUCCCGCUGGCCCGCCAUGACCCGCCUAGGGCCGCCAAAUGGCUGCUUACGUCUGCCAAGAGGCCACAUUGACCCGUUUUGGCCCGUCUUGCUCCACCUUAACUUGCCUUGGACCGCCUUGACCCUCCUUGCGCCACCAAGGGCCGUCUUGGCCUGCUUUGGGCAGCCUUUACCCACCUUGACCCUCCUAAACCCACCAAGGGCUACCAAGAGGCAGCCAUGAUUCGCCAAGGGGUCGCUAUGACCAUCCAAGGCCAGUCUGGGGCUGCCAAGGGGCCGCCUUGACCCGCCUUGACCUUCCUUGACCCGCCUUGACCCGUCUUGACCCGCCUAGGACAGCCUUGACCCGCCUUGACUUGUCUUGACCCGCCUUGGCUCGACUUGGGCCGUUUUGACCCCCUUUGCCUGCCUUGAUCCGCUUUGGCCCGAUUUAGAGCGUUAUGACCCGCCUUGGGCUGCAUUGACCUGUCUUGGACCGCCUUGACUCGCCUUGACAUGCCUUGGGCCGCCUUGACCCGCCUUUGGCCACCUAGUGCCACCCAGAAGCUGUCCUGACUCAUCAAUGCAUCGCCAUGACCCUCUUAGGCUCGUAUAAGGCCGCCAAGGAACCGCUUAACCCUCCUCGUCCCGGCUCGACCCUCCUCAGCCCUUCUAGGCCCAUCUAGGGCAGCCAAGAGGGCGCCAUGACCCACCUAGGGCCGUUAAGGGGCUGUCAUUACACGCCUUGACCCGUUUAAGGCUGCCAAGAGGCCGCCUUGACAUUCCUAGGACAGCCAAGGGGCCGCCUUGACAUGCCUAGGGGUGUUUUGACCUCCCUCAGGCCCGCCAUGACCCGCCUAGGCUUGUCUUGGGCCACCUUGACCCACCUUGACCCGCCUUAACCCACCUUGACCUACCUUGGACCGCUUUAUGCCACCUAGGACCGCCUUGACCCGCGUUGACCCGCCUAGGCUUGUCUUGGGCCACCUUGACCCACCUUGACCCGCCUUGGCCCGCCUUCACCCACCUUGACCAGCCUUUGACCGCCUUGACCCGCCUAGGGCCACCUUGACCCUCCUAGACUCGCUAAAGGCCACCAAGAAGCCGUAAUGACUCGUCAAGAGGCUGCCUUCACAUGCCUUGACCCACCUUGGCAUGCCUUUGGCCGCCUUGACCCGCUUUGGGCCGCCUUGACUCACCUAGGACCGCAUUGACCCGCUUUGGACCGCAUUGACCCGCCUAGGACCGCCUUGAUCCGCCAUGACUUGCCUUGACCCGCCUUUACUUGCUUUGGUCCGCCUUACACCUCUUUGACCUGCCUUGGGCCGCAUUGACCCUCCUUGGCCUGCAUCGACCCGCCUUGACCAUCCUCGGCUUUUCUAGGCCUACCUAGGGCAGCCAUGACCCACCUAGAGUCGCCAAGAGGUUGCCUUUAUACGCCUUCACCUGUUUAGGGCCGCCAAGGGGCCGCCAUGACACGCCUAGGGCUGCCAAGGGGCCGCCAUGACACGCCUAGGACAGCCAAGGGGUAGCCAUGACCCACGUAGAGCCGCCAAAGGGCUGCCUUUAUACGCCUUGACCAGUCUAGAGCCGCCAAGUGGGCCGCCUUGACCCAUCUAGGGCUGCCAAGGGGGCCGCCAUGACACUCUAAGGCCCGCCAAGGGGACGUUUUGACCCGCCAAGGGGCUGCCUUUACUCGCCUAGGUCUGUUUUGACCUCCCCAGGGCCCGCCUAGGGCCUCCAAGGGGCUGCCAUGACCCGCCUUGUGCCACCAAGAAGCCGCCAUGACCCUCCUAAACCCGUAUAGGGCCGCCAAGGGACCGCUUUAACCCUCCUUGACCCUCCUCGGCCCUUCUAUGCCUGCCUUGGACUGCCUUGACCCGGCUAGGACCGCCUUGACCUGCCUUGGACCACCUUGACUCACCUAGAACCGCCUUGAAUUUCCUUGGGCCGUUUUGACUCGCUUUUGCCCGCUUUGACUCGUUUUGGCCCGCCUUGGGCCGCAUUUACCUACCAGGAGGCCACCUUAACUCCUAGGAUCGCCAAGGGGGCCGCCUUGACACGGCUAGGGCUGUUUUGACCUCCCUCGGGCCCACCAUAACCUGCCUAGGGCCGCCAAUGGGCAGCAUACGUCCGCCAAGAGGCCACCUUGAACCGUCUCUGCCCGUCUUCGGCCGCCUUGACCUGCCUUGUGCUGUUAAGGGCCGCCAUGACCCGCCUUGGCCCGCUUUGGGCCGCCUUUACCUUCCUUGAACCUCCUUGACCCUCCUAAACCGACCUAUGGCCACCAAGAGGCUGCCACGAUUCGCCAAGGGGUCGCUAUGACCCGCCUAGGGGCGCCAAAGGGCUGCCUACGGCCUCCAUGGGGAUACCUUGACCCGUCUAGGCCACCAUGGGGCCGCCUUGACCCGCCUUGGCCUUCCUUAGACCGCCUUGACCCGCCUUGGCCUUCCUUAGACCGCCUUAACCCACCUUGACUCGUCGUAACCCGCCGUGACCCGCUUUGACCAGCCUUGGACCGCCUUGAUGUGCAUUGACUUGCCUUGACCCGCCUUGAGCUGCUUUGACUCGCCAUUGCCCGCUUUGACCCGUCUUAGACCGCUUUAACCCGUUUUGGGCCGCAUUGACCUGCGUUGGACUGCCUUGGCCCGCCUUUACCUGCCUUAGCCCGCCUUGACCCGCCUUAAACCACUAUUGGCCACCUAGUGUCACCAAGAAGCCGCCAUGACUCGCCAAGGCAUCGCCAUGUCCCUCUUAGGCCCGUAUAGGGCCGCCAACCGCCAAGGGACUGCCUUAACCCACCUUGAUCCUCUAGGGUCCUUCUAGGCCCACCUAGGGCAGCCAAAGGGGCGCCUUUACCUGCCUUGAUCCUUUUGGGCCCUUCAUGACCCACCUAGGGCCGCAAUGGGGCUGCCUUUACACGCCUUAACCCGUCUAGGGCCGCUAAGAGGCCACCAAGGGGGCCGCCUUGACACGCCUAGGGUUGUUUUGACCUCCUUCGGGCUCGCCAAAACCUGCCUAGGGCCGCCAAAAGGCUGCCUACGUCUGCCAAGAGGCCACCUUGACCCGCCUUGACCCACCUUGACCUGCCUUAGGCUGCCUUGACCCGCCUUGAUGUGAAUUUCUUUGGGCCGCCUUGACCCGCCUUUGCCCGCUUUGACUUGCUUUGGCCCGCCUUAGACUGCUUCGGCCCGCCUUGGGCCGCAUUGACCUGCCAAGAGGCCGCCUUGAUUUUCCUAAGACCGCCUUGACACGGCUAGGGCUGUUUUUGACCUCCCUCGGGCCCACCAUGACCCGCCUAGGGCCACUAAUGGGCUGCAUACGUCCGCCAAGGGGCCACCUUGACCCGUCUAGGGCCACCAAUGGGCUGCAUACGUCCUCUGUCGCGCUCGCCAUAACCCGUCUUAGGGCGCCUUAACCUGCCUUGAGCCGCCUUGGACCGCCUUGGACCGCCUUGACCCGCCUUGUGCCGCUAAGGGGCCGCCUUGACCCGCCUUAGCCCGCCUUUACCCUCCUUGAACCACCUUGACCCUCUUAAACCCACCUACGGCCACCAAGAGGCCACCAUGAUUCGCCAAGGGGUUGCUAUGACAUGCCUAGGGGCGCCAAAGGGUUGCCUACAGCCGCCAUGGGGAUACCUUGACCUGUCUAGGCCGCCAUGGGGCCGCCUUGACCUGCCUUGGACCGCCUUGGCCAUACUUGAACCGCCUUAACCCACCUUGACCCGCCAUGACCCACCAUGACCCGCUUUAACCCGCCUUGGACCGCCUUGAGCCGCUUUGACCCGCCUUAGACCGCUUUGACCCACUUUGGGCCACAUUGACCCGUGUUGGAAUACCUUGGCCCGCCUUUACAUGCCUUGGGCCGCCUUGAACCGCUAUUGGCCACCUACUGCCACCAAGAAGCAGCUAUGACUCGCCAAGGCAUUGCCAUGUCCCUCCUAGGCCCGUAUAGGGCCGCCAAGGGACCGCAAUGGGGUAGCCUUUACAUGCCUUGACCUGUCUAGGGCCGCCAAGAGGCCGCUUUGACAUUCUUAGGGCCACCAAGGGAGCCGCCUUGACACGCCUAGGGCUGUUUUGACCUCCCUCGGGCCCACCAUGACCCGCCUAGGGCUGCCUAUGUCUACCAAGAGGUCACCUUGACCCGCCUUGGCCCGUUUUGUGUCGCCUUGACCCACCUUGACGUGCCUUGGGCCGUCUUGACCCACCUUGGACCGCCAAGGGCUGCCUUGGCCCGCUUUGGGCAGCCUUUACCCGCCAUGAACUGCUUUGGCCCUCUUAAACCCACCUAGGACCAAGGGGUUGCCAUGACCUUCCUAGGCCCGUCUAGGGCUGCCAAGGGGCCGCCUUGACCCGCCUUAACCCGCCUUGGCCCGCGUUGACCCACCUUGGACCGCCUUGACCCCCUUAACUUGUCUUGACUCGCCUUGAAACGGCUAAGGCUGUUUUGACCUCCCUCGAGCCUGCCAUUACUCGUCUAGGGCCGCCAAUGGGCUGCCUAUGUCCGCCAAGAGGGCACCUUGAACCACCAAGGGGGGCCUUGACCCGCCUUUACCUGCCUAGGGCGGCCAAGCGGUCGUCUUGACCCGCCUUGACACGUAUUGGCCCACAUUGACCCUCCUAGGGCCUCCAAAAGGCCGCCUUGACCCGUUUAAGGCCACCAAGGGUCCGCCUUGACCCCGCUAGGGCCGCCAAGGGGCCGUGUUCACCCGUCUAAGGCCUCCAAGGGCCACCUUGACCCGCCAAGGGGCUCCCUUGACCCUUCUUAACACGCCCAGGGCCGCCUUGACCUUCUUAGGUUGUCCUAGGCUCUCCUAGGGCCAACAAGAGGUCGCCAUGACUCGCCAAGGGGUCGCCAUGACCCUCCUAGUCCUGUCUAGGGCUGCCUUGACCCUUUUAGAACCUCCUAGGCUUGCUUAGGGUAGCCAACGGGUCGCCUUGACCUGCUUAGGACCGCCAAUUGGCCGCUUUGAUCAGCCUUGGGCUGUCUUGGGCCGCCUUGGACCACCCUGACCUGCCUGAACCCGUCAUGGGCCGCCUUAACCUCAUAGGGUCGCCAAUAAGGCACCUUAACCCAUUUAGGGCCCCGAAGGGGCCUCCAAAAAUGCUACCUUGACUUGCCUAGGGCCGCCAAACGGCCGCCUUACUCGUCCUGACCCUCAUAAGGGGCCACCUUAACCCUCUUAGGGCCGCCAUGACCCGCCAAGGAGCCACUUUGACCCGUCUUGACCCGCCUUGACUGCCUUGACAGCCUUGACAUGCCAACGGGCAGCUUUGACCCGCCUUAACCGCAACCGCUGUGACCCACCUUGACAAGUCAAGUGGCCGCUUUGACCCGCCUUGUCAUGCCAAGGGACGGCCUUAACCCGCUUUGAUAUGCCAAGGGACCGCCUAGACCUACUUAGGCCGCUUUGACCUGCCUUGGGCUGCCUUGACCCUCAUAAGGCCUCCAAUAAGGCGCAUUGACCCAUCAAGGGCCACCAAGAGGCCGCCUUAACCCUACUAGGGCCGUCAUGAUCCGCCUUAACCCUACUAGGGCCGCCAUGAUCCGCCUAUGGCUGCCAAGGACCGCCUUGACCCUCCUAGGGCCACCUUGACCCGCCAAGGGGCCACUUUGACCCACCUUGACCCGCCUUGACUGCCUUUACCGGCCUUGACAUGCCCUGACUGCCUUGACCCACCCUGACUGCCUUGACCCGGCUUAACUACCUUUACCCGCCUUAACCGCUUUGACCCACCUUGACAAGCCAAUGGGCCGCUUUGACCCGCCUUGACAUGCCAAGGGACCGCCUUGACCCGCUUUGACAUGCUAAGGGGCUUCUUUGACCCGCCUUCACCUGCCAACGGACCGCCUAGAUCCACUUAGGCCGCUUUAACCCGCCUUGGGCCGCCUUGACCUUUAUAAUGCCGCCAAUAGAGCCCCUUGACCCAUCAAGGGCCACCAAGAGGCCGCCGAGGGGCCGCCUUAACCCUUCUAGGGCCACCAUGACUCGCCUAAGGCUGCAAAGGGACCGCCUUGACCCUCCCAGGCCUUGACCCGCCAAGGGGCCACGUUGACCCGCCUUGACCCGCCCUGACUGCCUUUACCCGCCUUGACAUGCCCUGACUGCCUUGACCCGCCCUGACUGCCUUGACCAGCCCUGACUUCCUUGACCCGCCCUAACUACCUUGACCCGCCUUAACCGCUUUAACCCACCUUGACAAGUCAAGGGGCCGCUUUAACCCGCCUUGACAUGUUAAGGACCGCCUUGACCCCCUUUGACAUGCUAAAGGGCCGCUUUGACCUGCCUUCACCUGCCAAGGGACCGCCUUGGCCCUCCUAGACCCAUGUAGGGACCUCCUACACCCGCUUAGGUGUAGCUUAGACCUGCCAAAACCCGUCUAAGGCCGCUAGUGGACUGCCUUAACCUGCCAAGGGACCGCCAUGACCCGCUAAGCGACCGCUUUGAUCCGCCUUGGGCCGCCUUGACCCUCAUAAAGCCGCCAAUAGGGCGCCUUGACCCAUCAAGGGCCACCAAGGGGCAGCCUUGACCAAGCUAGGGCCGCCUUAACCUGCCAAGGGACCGCCUUGACCCGCUAAGGGGCCGUUUUGACCCGCCUUAACUGCCUUGACCCGCCUUGACAUGCCAAGGGGCAACUUUGACCUGCCUUAACCGCUUUGACCCACCUUGACAAACCAAGGGGCCGCUUUGACCCGCUUUUGACAUGCCAAUGGACCGCCUUGACCCGCUUUGACUUGCUAAAGGGCCGCUUUGACCCGCCUUCACCUGCCAAAGGGACCGCCUUGGUCCUCCUAGACCCACGUAGGGACCACUUAGACCCACUUAAGGUCACCAAAGGGGCACCUAGCCCCGCUUCGGUGUAGCCUAGACCUGUCAAAACCCGUCUAUGGCCGCUAAUGGACUGCCUUGACCCGCCGGGGGCCACCAGGGGCCGUUUUGACCCGCCAAGGGGCUUCUUUGAUCCUUCUUGACCUACCAAUGGACAGCCUUGGCCCUCCUACACCCACGUAGGGACCACCUAAACCCACUUAAGGUCGCCAAAGGGGCCCCUAGACCUGCUUAGAUGUAGCCUAGACCUCCUAAGGUUGCUGCCAAGACCUGCCUAGGGUCGCUAGUGGACUGCCUUGACCCGUCGAGGGACGCCAAGGGGAUGAUUUGACCUGCCUUAGCACAUUAAAGGGCCGCUUUGACCCGCCUUGACCUGCCAAGGGGCCGCUUUAACCCACCUUGACCUGUCAAGGGAUCGCCAUGACAUGCCAAGGGGCCGCUUUGACCCACCUUAACCUGCCAAGGAACCGCCUUGACCCUCCUAGACCCACGUAGGGACCACCAAUACCCACUUGAGGUCACCAAGGGGCGCCCUGACUCGCCUAGGGUCAUCAAGACCUGCCUAGACCCGCUUAGAACCCGCGUAGGGACCGCCUAGACCCGUUUAGGUUUAGCCUAGACCUCGCCAAGGGACGGCCGAGAACUGCCUAGGGUAGUUAGUGGGCUACCUUGACCCGCUAAGGGCCCCCAAGGUGCCGUUUUGACCCGCCUUGACCUGCCAAGGGACCUCCUUGACCCGUCUUACAUGUCAAUGGGCCACUUUGACCCGCCUUGACCUGCCAAUGGACCGCUUUGACCCGCCUUGGGCCACCUUCACCCACCUUAGAUAGCCUUGGGCCGCUUUGACCCGCCUUGACUCUCCUAGACCCGCCAAAGGGUUGCCUAGGGCCGCCAUGGGGCUGCCUUGAUCCAUCUUGGCCCGGCUUGACCCGCCUUAGCCCUCCUUGACUUGCCUUAGACCACCUUUGACAGGACCCACCCCGAAUUUCACCCUGAAACCCGAAGUAAAUCCUGCGGGGACCACCUCCAAGGAAAGUUUACCGAAAAAUUCGACAGAACCUCCCUUGAAAAUGGACAACCCUUCCUAAUAAAACCUGCAAACACUUCUGAAAAUUUAAAUCCAACCAUAAACUCCUGGAGCCUUCGUGCUCCCCAAAUCACAACAUCUCCCAAUUUAAUUUCUAACUUAAACAAGAAAAUCUCAUAGCCAACAGCCACAGUUCAGAGCAACUCUAUUUGAAAGGAAAUGAACUAGAAAUAUAAAAAUGAGCGGAAGCUACACUAUUGACUAUGCCUCUUCUCCAUAUACGUCCGACCUCAACUAUGCAAUCCUGCAAACUGGGCAUUUUUAAAACGAAGAGCCCAGGGGAAAACAUUUGAAAACGAAACGUUAGAGUGAGUGGACAAAAAUAAAUUAACGAAUAAAAUAUCUAAUGUUUCCCCAAAUCAAUUUCCAAGGAAAAUCGAAUACAUGCUGCAAGCGAUAAAACUUUUAUCUCAUAAAUAUCGAGUCUCUCAGGCUCUAUAAUAUAUGUAUGUAUUUACACACGUCCAUACUCCCUAUAUAAAUUCAUGGGUCUAUAUAGGGCUACUACGCUCGCGUCCAACGCUCACGUCACGCCUUAAUGCGGUGCUACACUACGCCAUUAAGGUGGACAGACGGGUGUAUAAAUAUGUGCCCAUACCCCCUAUAUGAAUUAAACACUCAUGUAGGGCUNNNNNNNNNNNNNNNNNNNNAUUUUUCGGUAACUCUCCAAGAGAAAUAAAAGCGUCAAAAUUAAAUGACGUCAAAACUCCAACAAUUUUAAAUGCUCAACCAAAACCAUAGCAUGCAUAUUAUUUAAAAUAAAAGUCCACUCACAGAAUGAGGCCUAAGCCUUCCAAUGCUCGGAAUACUCCUCGAGCGCCGCCUCCAACUAAUCACACUCUCUAGCCAAUCCCACGUCUGACGAUAAACAGAAGAAUAAAUUGGUCAGACCGGACUCCAAUAAUCAUUAACGAUUCGACUUCUUCCUAGUUUGACUAGGUUUACUGAGUUGACCAGGAUUGACCAAGUUUGACCAAUUGAUUUAUGAUUAGCCAACUAACGAAGCCUCAACAAUUUCCAUUUUAACCUUCGACUUAACAAAUCGGGUUACCUUGAUUACUCUACCAUCCAAUUUAAUUCCAACAACCAUCUUAAUAAUUCAAUUACAAUUGAUUCUUCAUCCAAACAAUCCUCAAUCACUCUCUCUCUAUACAACUUCACACCAUAAAUCACUAAGGGCACCCAAAAUGGGUUUCCAUAAAUAGAAAGUUUUCAAAAAAGGGAAAGUUUCCCCAAAAUAGGAACUUUCCUCACUUAGAAAGAUUUCCGAUUAUAAACCGACAAACUUUCCUAUUUAUGAAACAACGCAAAACAAAAAGGAAAACUUCAAUAACUACCUCAACUGCUCUUGUCGGACUAACUGCCUUCGUCGGAUUCCGACGACUUGUCGGAAUAUUCUGCCGGAUUCCGGCCACUUGCCGGAAAAUUGGCCAUAGUCUCCCUGCAUCUUCUAAUCUCCAAGUUAUCGACAAUCAUGCAGAAAAUAAACGAUUCAAACACCAACCAACCGAAACCACACAACAACAACAACACCAAAGAUCAAGACUUACCACUCACCUUGCUAUAAUCCUCGCCGAAACCAUGUUCACUGACAGCCCAAAACCGCAGUCAUGAUCGGAGGACACUCAAUCAAACACCCAAAACCACUAGCCUCCUUCCGAAACAGUAACAACUUCCUCCAAACUUCUUCCAAAGUGCGUCGGGGCUCCCACCAACCACAACUAGGUUCGCCUGAGCUCGACGGACACACUGAAAUUCAAGAACAAAAAGCCCUUGUUGGAGACCGAACUUCAAACCCAGAAAACCAGAGAAAGGGGGAAAAUCUGAUUAGGGCUCUAUAUUUGGAAAUCGAAGCUCAAGGAAGACCGAAAAACUAGAGGAAGUGAUGAGCAUACCUUCACGAAGCACAAGCUCACCGGAAAAGAAAAGAUUCGGCCGGAAUUUGGGUUUUGGGGAUUUAGGGUUCUUGUUUCGAUCGAACGGGAUAGAUGAUGCCUGGCAAGUUGAUGGGUAGCAGUAGAGAGAGGAGAGAGAGACAAGUCGAUUGGGGGUGGUAGCUCGACCAGCGACGGCCGGACGACGGCGCUCCGACGUGGAGAAGAGAGAGAGAGAAGAGAAAGUCGGGAGGGAGGAGAGAGAGAAGAGAGAAUAGGGUUUGGGUCUUUUUUUUUUUUUCCAAACCGGUUCCUACCCAAACCAAAUAUAAACCGAACUCCAAAAAAUAAAACACCCCGAAAAAUAAUACCCGAAUAAAAAUUACCUUUUACUAGCUAAAAUUUACCAUUUUUACCGUCGUCAUAUUUUCCUCCUACAAAUAAUCCUCCGAGCAUAACUGUCCCCGAAACCCCUCUAGGGACCAAUUAAACUAUAACUUCAAUGACGGAGACGGUAAAAUUCUUAUUAUAACCAAGCUAGUAAAUAAGGUAAAAAUUUACGGGUCAGGAUGUGACAACCUUGGCCCGCCUUGACCCUCCUUAGACCCGUCUUGGCCCGCCAUGACACGCCUUGAACCACCUUGGGCCGCCUUGACCUUCCUAGACCUGCCUAGGGCCGCCUUGACCCCCCUUGACCCACUUUGACCCGCCUUUACCCGUCUUGGCCCGCCUUGAACCACCUAGGGCCGCCUUGACCCUCCUAAACCCGCCUAGGGGUACCAAGAAGCGUACAUGACUCCCCAUGACUCGCCUAGGCCCGUCAAGGGGCUGCCUUUACAUGCCUUGACCCUCCUAGACCCGUCUAGGGCCGCCUUAACCCGCCUUGGCCCGCCUUGACCCUCCUCGGCCCUUCUAGGAUCACCUAUGGCUGCCAAGGGGGAGCCAUGAUCCACUUAGAGCUACCAAGGGGCUGCCUUUACACCUCUUGACCAGUCUAGGGCCGCCAAAGGGACCGCCUUAACACGCCUAGGGCUGCCAAGGGGACGUUUUGACCUGUCUAGGGCCGCCAAGGGGGCUGCCUUUACACGCCUAGGGUUGUUUUGACCUCCCUAGAGCUUGCCAUGACCAGCCUAUGGCCGCCAAGGGGCUGCCUUGGGCCGCCAUGGGGCCACCUUGACCCAUCUUGGCCGCCUUGACCCGCCUUAGUCUGCCUUGGCCGGCCUUGAUCCGCCUUGGUCCGCCUUGAUCCGCUUUGGGCCGCCAUAACCUGCCUUGACCAGUCUUUGACCCGCCAUGACCUGCCUUGACCCUUCUUUAACCGCAUUAUGGUGUGACGUGACCGUUAGACGCAAGCGUAGUAGCCCUAUAUGAGUGUUUAAUUCAUAUAGGGGGCAUGUGAACAUAUUUAUACACUCGUCUGUCCACCUUAAUAGCGUAAUGUAUCACCGCAUUAAGGCGUGACGUGAGCGUUAGACGCAAGCGUAGUAGCCCUGUAUGAAUUUAUAUUUUUCAUAAGGAUUCAUACAAGGAGUAUGGACGUGUGUAAAUACAUACAUAUGUUUAUAUAUAUUUUUGAGCUUGAGAGGCUCGAUAUUUUAUGAGUUGAAAGUUUUAUCGCUUGGGGCAUGCAUUCGCUUUUCUUUGAAAAUUUAAUUUGGGAAAGCAUAAAGAUAUUUAUUGCUCGUUUCUUUUAAAUUUACUUUUGUCCACUCACUCUAACGGUUUUGAAUGUUUUCCUCUGAACCAUUCAUUUUAAAAAUGCCUAGUUUGCAGGAUUUCAUAGUUGAGGUCGGGCGUACAUGGAGACAAGACAUAGUCAAUAGUAUAACUUCCGCUCAUAUAUAUAUAUAUUUUUAGUUCAUUUCUCCUUUAAUAGAGUUGCUCUGAAUCUGUGAUUGUUGGUUGUGAGUUUUUCUUAUUAAAGUUGCUAAAUAAAUUGGGAGAUGUUGUGAUUUGGGGAGCACGAAGGCUCCAGGAGUAGAGGGUUAUAGAUGGAUUCUUUUAAAGUGAACGCAUGUAUUAUUAGGAAGGGUUGUCCAUUUUCAAGGGAGCUUAUUUCAAAUUUUCGGUAAAUUUUCCUUGGAGGUGGUCCCCGCAGGAUUUACUUCGGGUUUCAAGGUGAAAUUCGGGGUGGGUCUUGACACCUAGGGCCACCAAGAAGUUGCCAUGAUUCGCCAUGACUCGCCUAGGCCCGUCAAAAGACUGCCUUUACACGCCUUGACCGUCCUAGGCCCGCCUAGGGCCACCAAUUGACCCGUCUAGGGCCGCCAAGGGCCACCUUAACCAGCCUUAGGCCGUCUUGACCCAUCUUGGCUUGCCUUGGCCCUCCUCGGCCCUUCUAGGACCACCUAUGGCUGCCAAGGGGGAGCCAUGAGCCACCUAGAGCCACCAAGCGGCUGCCUUUACACACCUAGGUCUGUUUUGACCUCCCUAGGGCCUUUCAUGACCCGCCUAGGGCCGCCAAGGGGCUGCCUACAGACGCCUUGGGGUUACCUUGACCCGUCUAGGGCCGCCCAGACUCACUUUGGCCUGUUUUGGGCCGCUUUGACCCUCCUUUACUCGCCUUGGACCGCCUUUACCCGCCUUGGACCGCCUUAACCCGCCUUGGACCGCCUUGACCCGCCUUAGACUGCCUUGACCCGCCAUGGGCCGUCUUGACCCGCCUUGAACCGCCUUAGGCCGCCUUGACCCUCCUAGACCCGCCUAGGGCCGCCUUGACCGCCUUGAGCGUUGAGCCGCCUUGACCAAUCUUGGGCCGCCUUUACACGCCUUGAACCGCCUUGACCCUCCUAGACCCGCCUAGGGCCGGCUUGACCCUCCUAGACCCGUCAAGAGGCCGCCUAGGGCCACCAUGGGGCCACCUUGACCCGCCUUGGCCCUGCCUUGACCCGCUUUGGCCUGCCUUGACCCUCCUAGACCCGCCUAGGGCCACCAAGAAGUCGUCAUGACUUGCCAUGACCCGUCAAGGGGCUGCCUUUACGACCAUCCUAGGCCCGCCUGUUAGGGUUGUACGUGGCUCAAAACUGAUUCCUUGUCUGUUUUGGAGUUUUUACUUCUGAAGGUCUGAAGGCUUUGGGUAAGUUAUUCUAGUGUGUCUAGGAUUCUUAGAGUUUAUCCUUAGAAGUAAUGGUUUAGGAUCCCUGUUAUGGUUCUAAAUCUUAUUGUAAGUCAGACUAGUUGAGAGUCUAUAAAUAGGACCUUAGAGACAUAGUUUUAGGUGUGGAUCAAUUGAGAGUUUAGAGAUUCAAGAGUUGCAAGCUUUGAAAGUUUGGGUGAUUUAAGAGUGUUCUCUGCUGAGAAUCUAGAGUGUGAGGAGAGAGGUUAUUUGAGGGUGAAGAACCGUAUUGUUCUUCAGUUGUAAUCUUCUUCUUGUUUAGUGGAUCCACCAUCACCAUCACCGGAAGACGUAGGUCAACUGUUUUGACCGAACAUCGUUAAUAUCUUGUGUUCGCUUGCAUUGAUUUUGGUUAUUGUCUUCAUUCAGUUAUGAUCUUGGGCUAAGGAAUUCAGAGGGUGACCCAUCUAGGGACGCCCUGACCCGCUUUGGCCCGUCUUGGGCCGCCUUGAACCGCCUAGGGCCACCAAGAACCGCCAUGACCCUCCUAGGCUCGUGUUGGGCCGCCAAGAGACCGCCUUAACCCGUCUUGACCCGCCUUGACCCGUCUUGACCAUCCUAAGCCCACCUAGGGUAGCCAAAGGGCUGCCUUUACACUCCUUGACCCGUCUAGGGCCGCCAAGAGGCCGGCCGCCUUGACACUCCUAGGGCCGCUAAGGGGACGUCUUGACCCGCCAAGGGCUGCCUUUACACGCUUAGGGCUGUUUUGACCUCCCUAGGGCCCGCCAUGACUCGCCUAGGGCCUCCGCCUUGGGGUCACCUUGACCUCCAAAGGGCACGCCUUUACCCGCCUUGACUAGCCUUGGGCUGCCUUUACACGCCUUGACCCUCGUAGGCCCGCCUAGGGCCACCUUGACCCGUGUACGGCCGUCAAGGGCCGCCUUAACCCUCCUUGACCUGCCUAGGGCUACCAAGGGGGACGCCUAGACACACCUAGGUUCACCAACGGGACGUCUUAACCUACCAAGGGGCUGCGUUUACACGCCUAGGUCUGUUUUGACCUCCUUAGGGCCCACCAUGACCCGCCUAGGGCCACCAAGGGGCUGCCUACGGCCGCCAUGGGGCUACCUUGACCCGUCUAGGGCCGCCUUUACCUACCUUGGCCCAUCUUGGGCCGCUUUAACCCGCCUUUAACCCGUAUUUACCCGCCCUGGACCGCCUUUACCCGCCUUGGGCCACCUUUACCCUUUUAGGGCCGCCUUGAUCCUCUUAGGGCCGCCUUGACCCUCCUAGGGCAGCCUUGACCCACCUUGACCCGUCUAGGGACGUGCCUUGACCUGCCUUGGCCCACCUUGACCCGCCUUAACCCUCCUAGACCCCACCUAGGGCCACCAAGAAGCCGCCAUGANNNNNNNNNNNNNNNNNNNNCCUUGACCCGCCUUAACCUGCCUUGACUUGCCUUAGGGCGCCUAGACCCGCGCUUGACCGCCUUGACCCACCUUGACUUGCCUUGACCCUCCUAGACCUGCCUAGGGCCACCAAGAAGCCGCCACGACUCGCCAUGACCCGUCAAGGGGUUGCAUUUACACGCCUUGACCCUCCUAGGCCCGCCUAAGGCCACCUUGACCAGUGUACGGCCGACAAGGGCCGCCUUAACCCGCCUUAGGCCGGCUGGACCCGUCUUAACCCUCUUUGACCCGCUUAGGGCCGCCAAAGGGGACGCCUUGACACGCCUAGGGUCGCCAAAGGGAUGUCUUGACCUGCCAAGGGGCUGCCUUUACACGCCUAGGUCUGUUUUAACCUCCUUAGGGCCCGCCAUGACACGCCUAGGGCCACCAAGGGGCUGCCUACGGCCGCCAUGGGGCUACCUUGACCCGUUUAGGGCCGCCUUGACCCCCUUUUGCCCGUCUUGGGCCGCUUUGACCCAUCUUGGCCCGCCUUGGACCUGCCUUGACCCGCCUUGGACUUGCCUUGACCCGCCUUGGGCCACCUUGACCCUCUUAAGGCCGCCAAGGGGUUGGGUUCACUCGCCUAAGGCCGCUAAGGGGACGUCUUGACCCGCCAAGGGGCUGCCUUUACACACCUAGGGCUAUUUUAACCUACCUAGGGCCUGCCAUGACCCGCCUAGGGCCACCUUGACCUUGUUAGGCCAGCCUAGGGCAGCCGAGAGGGCGCCAAGACCCACCUUGGGUCGUCAAGAGGCCACCUUGACCCGUCUAAGGACCAGCCUUGACCUGCCUGGGCCCACCUUGUCCCGCCUUGGGCCACCUUGACCCUUCUUAGACCACCGAAAAGCCUCCUUAAAUCGCUAAGGGGGCCGCCUUAACACACCAAGGGCCGCCAAGGGGACGUCUUGACCUGCCAAGGGGUUGUCUAUACACGCCAAGGUCUGUUUUGACCUCUCUAGGGCAGCCUUGACCCACCUAGGGCCACCAAAAAGCCGCCAUCAGUCGCCAUGACCCUCCUAGGCUCGUUUAGGGCAGCCAAGGAGCCGCCUUCACCCUCCUAGGCCCACCUAGGGCAGCCAAAGGGCGCCUUGACUUGCCUUGGACCGCCUUGGAACGCCUUGGGUCGCCUUAGCCCGCUUUUGACCGCCUUGACCCACCUUGACUUGCCUUAGGCCGCCUAGACCCGCGUUUGACCGCCAUGACUUGCCUUGACCCUCCUAGGGCCACCACCAAGGGGCUGCCUUUACACGCCAAGGUUUGUUUUGACCUCUCUAGGGCCCGCCUUGAUCCGCUUUAACCCUCAUAGACCCACCUAGGGCCACAAGAAAGCCGCCAUGACUCGCCAAGGGGUCGCCAUGACCCUCCUAGGCCCGUCUAGGGCAUCCAAGGUGCCAUCUUGACCCGCCUUGACCCCUCUCGACUCUUCUAGGCCCACCUAGGGCAGCCAAGGGGCGGCCAAGGGGUGCCUUGACCCGCCUUGGACUGCUUUAACCAGCCUUGGAACGUCUUGGGCCGUCUUUGACCGCCUUGGGCCGCCUUGACCUGUAUUGGGCCGCCAUGACCAGCCUUGACCCACCUCUGAUUGCCUUGACCCGCGUUGACUUGCCUUGGGCCGCCAUGACCCGCCUUGAACCGCCUUGGGCCACCUUAACCUUUCCUUGACCCGCCUUGGGCUGCCUUCACCCGCCUUUACCCGCCAUAGGCAGCCUUGACCCGCCAAGGGGCCGCCUAGGGCCGCCUUGACCCGCCUUAACCUGCCUAUGGCCACCAAGGGGCGCCUUGACCCGGCUAGGGCCGCCUUCACCAGGUUAGGGCCGCCUUGACCCUUUUAGGGCCGUCUUGACCCGCCUUUACCCGCCUUGACAUGCCUUCACCAGGUUAGGGCCGCCUUUACCCGUCUAGAGCCGCCUUUACCCAUAUUCGCCCGCCUUGACCCUCCUAAGGCAGCCAAGAGUCCACCUUGACCCCGCUAGGGCCGCCAAGGGGCUGCGUUCACCCAUCCAAGGCCACCAAGGGGCUGCCUUGACCUUGCUAGGACCGCUAAGCUAAGGGGCCGCGUUCACUCAUCUAAGGCCGCCAAGGGGCUGCCAUGACCCUCCUAGACCCGCGUAGGGCCGCCUUGACCCUCCUAGGCCCUCCUUGGCUCACCUAGGCCCACCAAGGGGCCGCCAUGACUCACCAAGGGGUCGCCAUGACCCUCUUAGGCCUGUGUAGGGCCGUCAAGCGGCCGCCUUGACCCCGUUAGGGCCGCCAAAGGGUUACGUUCACUCGUCUAAGGCGGCCCCGCCAAAGGGCUGCCUUAAUGUAACAUCCUGGAAUUUCAGUUUUCUAUUUUUAAAAGGAAAAUUAUUUAAGAACUAUUUUUAUUUCGAUUUCUUUAUCCAUUCAAAUUCUUUGUAGCUUUCGAAAAUUAUUCAAAUUUUUUAGUUUGUCGAAAAUUUUCUUUCGAGCCCAUAAGAUUAAACUAGACGUCGUUACGAGUUCGUAGGAUUUUUUCGGAGCAUCGUUUGGACUUCGAAGCUAUUUUUAAUGAUUUUUGGAAGUUGGUAUUAUCCAAAAUUUUAAUUAAAAAUAGAAUAUUUGUUGGCAUGAUCUGGGUCGUCAGAUCUUUUUAACCGUCUAAUCUAGGCCGUUGGAUUGGAGUAUAUAUAAUUUGGAUUAGCUUGGACUGCAACAUAACACAGCUCAGACCGACUUCGGUCUCGAGCUGCUCUGCAGCAACGGAGCUCGGAGGCAUCGUUCGUCAUCCGGCCAUCUCUCGGCGCAAGACCGGCGUCCUUAGGUCCGUCUCGUCGUCCCCAACCUCCUUGUGAUUCUAGCUUGAAGAGUGGAGCUCCGGUGAGAGAGAAAAGGAGGAGAGAAGGCAAUUGUGUUUCGGAUCGGGUUUUCGAUUCCGGCAGCGAGCGUGAAUGGUAGUGGAAGCUUCCUCUCGUCCUUGUGGUCUUCCCUAUGUCCUCAGUUUCUUCAGAAGAGGUCGGGAGAGAGAGAUUCGAAGUGGAGAAGGAAAGACUGGGUUCACCGGCGAGUUAUCGAUUCUGGCCAAGUCGUGAUCUCUCACCAGUGUGAAUAGCUUUGUCUCCUUAUCCUCGACGUCCAUGUAACUUCAGCUUGUCGAGACGAGGUCAGGUGAGGGAGAAUCGAAGAGAAGAAGUUUUGGGAUUUUCCGGCAAGGGUUCGAUGUUUUCCGGCCAUCGGCGAAGGCAAGCGAGGUAUCAAUCUUCAUCUACUCGUCAAGCUUUACAUGUUUCUAUAAUUGGAAUUGAGUUUGGUUGAGGUUUGGAGGAAGUUGGGUUUUAGGCAGUGGAGGACUGCCGUAUGUGCCGCUGUGCACGGCGGCGAUGGCGGUGGUUUUGGAAGUUGGUUUCCGGCUUUAUUAGUGUAUUGAAUUGGUUUGAGUGAUUGCAAAUGCUUGAAUUUGAGAAUUGGAGGAGUUGAUGAUCGGAACUCGGAAGGUAUUGUUUUAGUUGGAAGGUGUAGAACAAUAGCCACUGUUAUUGUUGUUAUUAUUGCUGUUAUUGCUGUUAAUGUCCAAACGCCAUUCUUAGUGUGUUUGAUAAAGAGAUGAUGGAACAUAAAUUGUGGAAGUUAGAAGAAAGAUGUUGAAUUGUAUUGUUGAAGUGAUCGGUCAUGAACUAGUAGGUUGGCUUGUUGGUUAUGGAAGUUGUCGUAUAUAUAGACAUAUUCAUUGUGAAUUGUGAAGUGCAGGAGGUUUAGUAUGUUAGUUUCUUAAGUAAAAAGAAAUUAAUGUAUUAGACUUGAAGAAGAAUGUGUGAUCAGGACACUUGAGAGGAAAUGCAGAUUAAGGCUUUGGGUGUCCAUAGCAAUUUGAAGGAUGGAAUGGAAGAAUUGAACACUUGUUUUUGGGUGUCUAUAAUUUCAUAAUUAGACUAUGAAGGUCAAUGGAAUCGAAGGAUGAUGGUUUUGGGUGUACAAAGUAAUUUCAGAAAUUUGGAUAGAAAUGGGUGCAAUUGGAAUAUGACGACGCACUUGGGUGUCCUUAGUAAAUUUCCGAAUUAGAUCAAGCUGAUGUGAAGUGACCUGUCAACAUUCUCGGAAUGAAGAUUGAGUAUGAGGAUUGAAUGCGAGGAGCUGGAUUGCAGAAGUAGAAGAAUAAGGAUUUUAGAAGUGUGUCGCCGAGUUACUAAUUUUAGCUAGCGUCAAAAGUAGCUCUCGGAUUCUAGGUAGGGUCUCUCUCUCUCAGGGAACCUCUUUUUAAAUUGAUAAUUAGGUUAUUAUUGAAAUCGGUGCAUUGUGUGGCAUUGGUUGAUAUAA